RNAcentral lists this ribosomal RNA (261 nucleotides) under uncultured archaeon. RNAcentral's name for it is "partial 16S ribosomal RNA". It matches the Rfam family "Archaeal small subunit ribosomal RNA", at positions 748 to 1008 of the family's 1478-position model. The record is from RNAcentral.
CAGCCGUAAACUAUGCGCGUUAGGUGUAUCGGUGACCACGAGUUACCGAGGUGCCGAAGGGAAACCGUGAAACGUGCCGCCUGGGAAGUACGGUCGCAAGGCUGAAACUUAAAGGAAUUGGCGGGGGAGCACCACAACAGGUGGAGCCUGCGGUUUAAUUGGACUCAACGCCGGGAAGCUCACCGGAUAGGACAGCAGAAUGAUAGCCGGGCUGAAGACUCUGCUUGACUAGCUGAGAGGUGGUGCAUGGCGUCAGUGACU